GGUGCGGACGGCUACCAUGCAAGUCGAACGGUAGCACAGAGAGCUUGCUCUCGGGUGACGAGUGGCGGACGGGUGAGUAAUGUCUGGGAAACUGCCUGAUGGAGGGGGAUAACUACUGGAAACGGUAGCUAAUACCGCAUAACGUCGCAAGACCAAAGAGGGGGACCUUCGGGCCUCUUGCCAUCAGAUGUGCCCAGAUGGGAUUAGCUAGUAGGUGGGGUAACGGCUCACCUAGGCGACGAUCCCUAGCUGGUCUGAGAGGAUGACCAGCCACACUGGAACUGAGACACGGUCCAGACUCCUACGGGAGGCAGCAGUGGGGAAUAUUGCACAAUGGGCGCAAGCCUGAUGCAGCCAUGCCGCGUGUAUGAAGAAGGCCUUCGGGUUGUAAAGUACUUUCAGCGGGGAGGAAGGUGUUGUGGUUAAUAACCGCAGCAAUUGACGUUACCCGCAGAAGAAGCACCGGCUAACUCCGUGCCAGCAGCCGCGGUAAUACGGAGGGUGCAAGCGUUAAUCGGAAUUACUGGGCGUAAAGCGCACGCAGGCGGUCUGUCAAGUCGGAUGUGAAAUCCCCGGGCUCAACCUGGGAACUGCAUUCGAAACUGGCAGGCUGGAGUCUUGUAGAGGGGGGUAGAAUUCCAGGUGUAGCGGUGAAAUGCGUAGAGAUCUGGAGGAAUACCGGUGGCGAAGGCGGCCCCCUGGACAAAGACUGACGCUCAGGUGCGAAAGCGUGGGGAGCAAACAGGAUUAGAUACCCCUGGUAGUCCACGCCGUAAACGAUGUCGAUUUGGAGGUUGUGCCCUUGAGGCGUGGCUUCCGGAGCUAACGCGUUAAAUCGACCGCCUGGGGGAGUACGGCCGCAAGGUUAAAACUCAAAUGAAUUGACGGGGGCCCGCACAAGCGGUGGAGCAUGUGGUUUAAUUCGAUGCAACGCGAAGAACCUUACCUGGUCUUGACAUCCACAGAACUUUCCAGAGAUGGAUUGGUGCCUUCGGGAACUGUGAGACAGGUGCUGCAUGGCUGUCGUCAGCUCGUGUUGUGAAAUGUUGGGUUAAGUCCCGCAACGAGCGCAACCCUUAUCCUUUGUUGCCAGCGGUUAGGCCGGGAACUCAAAGGAGACUGCCAGUGAUAAACUGGAGGAAGGUGGGGAUGACGUCAAGUCAUCAUGGCCCUUACGACCAGGGCUACACACGUGCUACAAUGGCGCAUACAAAGAGAAGCGACCUCGCGAGAGCAAGCGGACCUCAUAAAGUGCGUCGUAGUCCGGAUUGGAGUCUGCAACUCGACUCCAUGAAGUCGGAAUCGCUAGUAAUCGUAGAUCAGAAUGCUACGGUGAAUACGUUCCCGGGCCUUGUACACACCGCCCGUCACACCAUGGGAGUGGGUUGCAAAAGAAGUAGGUAGCUUAACCUUCGGGAGGGCGCUUACCACUUUGUGAUUCAUGACUGGGGGAAGUCGAACAAGUACAUGG
RNAcentral lists this ribosomal RNA (1471 nucleotides) under Enterobacter cloacae. Its description in RNAcentral is "bacterial SSU rRNA". It matches the Rfam family "Bacterial small subunit ribosomal RNA". The record is from RNAcentral. Lineage: Bacteria; Pseudomonadati; Pseudomonadota; Gammaproteobacteria; Enterobacterales; Enterobacteriaceae.